This 1530-nucleotide ribosomal RNA is filed under the name Pectobacterium carotovorum subsp. carotovorum. RNAcentral's name for it is "bacterial SSU rRNA". It matches the Rfam family "Bacterial small subunit ribosomal RNA". Lineage: Bacteria; Pseudomonadati; Pseudomonadota; Gammaproteobacteria; Enterobacterales; Pectobacteriaceae. The record is from RNAcentral.
AGAGUUUGAUCAUGGCUCAGAUUGAACGCUGGCGGCAGGCCUAACACAUGCAAGUCGAGCGGUAGCACAGGAGAGCUUGCUCUCUGGGUGACGAGCGGCGGACGGGUGAGUAAUGUCUGGGAAACUGCCUGAUGGAGGGGGAUAACUACUGGAAACGGUAGCUAAUACCGCAUAACCUCGCAAGAGCAAAGAGGGGGACCUUCGGGCCUCUCGCCAUCAGAUGUGCCCAGAUGGGAUUAGCUAGUAGGUGAGGUAAUGGCUCACCUAGGCGACGAUCCCUAGCUGGUCUGAGAGGAUGACCAGCCACACUGGAACUGAGACACGGUCCAGACUCCUACGGGAGGCAGCAGUGGGGAAUAUUGCACAAUGGGCGCAAGCCUGAUGCAGCCAUGCCGCGUGUGUGAAGAAGGCCUUCGGGUUGUAAAGCACUUUCAGCGAGGAGGAAGGCGGUAAGGUUAAUAACCUUAUCGAUUGACGUUACUCGCAGAAGAAGCACCGGCUAACUCCGUGCCAGCAGCCGCGGUAAUACGGAGGGUGCAAGCGUUAAUCGGAAUGACUGGGCGUAAAGCGCACGCAGGCGGUCUGUUAAGUUGGAUGUGAAAUCCCCGGGCUUAACCUGGGAACUGCAUUCAAAACUGACAGGCUAGAGUCUUGUAGAGGGGGGUAGAAUUCCAGGUGUAGCGGUGAAAUGCGUAGAGAUCUGGAGGAAUACCGGUGGCGAAGGCGGCCCCCUGGACAAAGACUGACGCUCAGGUGCGAAAGCGUGGGGAGCAAACAGGAUUAGAUACCCUGGUAGUCCACGCUGUAAACGAUGUCGAUUUGGAGGUUGUGCCCUUGAGGCGUGGCUUCCGGAGCUAACGCGUUAAAUCGACCGCCUGGGGAGUACGGCCGCAAGGUUAAAACUCAAAUGAAUUGACGGGGGCCCGCACAAGCGGUGGAGCAUGUGGUUUAAUUCGAUGCAACGCGAAGAACCUUACCUACUCUUGACAUCCAGAGAAUUAGCUAGAGAUAGCUGAGUGCCUUCGGGAACUCUGAGACAGGUGCUGCAUGGCUGUCGUCAGCUCGUGUUGUGAAAUGUUGGGUUAAGUCCCGCAACGAGCGCAACCCUUAUCCUUUGUUGCCAGCGAUUCGGUCGGGAACUCAAAGGAGACUGCCGGUGAUAAACCGGAGGAAGGUGGGGAUGACGUCAAGUCAUCAUGGCCCUUACGAGUAGGGCUACACACGUGCUACAAUGGCGUAUACAAAGAGAAGCGACCUCGCGAGAGCAAGCGGACCUCAUAAAGUACGUCGUAGUCCGGAUUGGAGUCUGCAACUCGACUCCAUGAAGUCGGAAUCGCUAGUAAUCGUAGAUCAGAAUGCUACGGUGAAUACGUUCCCGGGCCUUGUACACACCGCCCGUCACACCAUGGGAGUGGGUUGCAAAAGAAGUAGGUAGCUUAACCUUCGGGAGGGCGCUUACCACUUUGUGAUUCAUGACUGGGGUGAAGUCGUAACAAGGUAACCGUAGGGGAACCUGCGGUUGGAUCACCU